This 591-nucleotide unclassified non-coding RNA is filed under the name Hevea brasiliensis (rubber tree). The record is from RNAcentral. Lineage: Eukaryota; Viridiplantae; Streptophyta; Magnoliopsida; Malpighiales; Euphorbiaceae.
UUACAAUGCUACAGAAUCCCAUUAUACAAGAUAACGAGUCUAAAAUGUAACAUCAUUAGCUGAAACAGAAAACUACAACACCGCAAACUUGUUCACACACCAAACAUUGGUGAAUCAAGCGUCUUUUAUUCCCGCCGCUCCGACCAAGUAGUACUAAUAAUAAGAGCAGCAGCAGCUAAGUAGCACCAGCAGUAGGCUCCAUUCAGAGAUUUACCUCACCUUGUUGCAAUCAGUCUGCAUGCUGAUCGGGUAGGGGAUGUUGACGCCGCACUUGGCGGGGAUGCCGGCGACGAUUGCAGCAUUGAGGCCAAGGCUGGGGUUCACCAGAGACUUGAGGCAGUUGCAUGCAGUCUGGCGAUCGGGAGUGGUCUUGGCUAAGUUAUUAAGGGUCCUCACACCCGCGCAGCAGCCCGGUGGGAUGACCCCGCCCUUUCUAGCAUAGCCAAGGCAGGAGCUGAGGUCAGAGUCAACCUGACCACAGGUGAUUGCCGAGGCUGUGCCGACGAGAAAGGCAAGGAGCAGGAGGGAGCAGACGACGGAGGAGCGAGCCAUGGAAGGAGAGCUGGGAAGAAUGGGAUGAGUGAUGGUUGA